CCCUUAGAUGUUCUGGGCCGCACGCGCGCCACACUGACGAAGUCAGCGAGCAUGUCCUACGCCGACAGGCGCGGGGAAUCUUGUCAAACUUCGUCGUGAUGGGGAUUGAUUAUUGAAAUUCUUGAUCAUCAACGAGGAAUUCCUAGUAAGCGCAAGUCAGCAGCUUGCGUUGAUUACGUCCCUGCCCUUUGUACACACCGCCCGUCGCUCCUACCGAUUGGGUGUGCUGGUGAAAUGUUCGGAUCGGCCGUUUGUCGCGGUUUCCGCGUCAUGUGGCUGAGAAGUUCAUUAAACCCUCCCACCUAGAGGAAGGAGAAGUCGUAACA
This 326-nucleotide ribosomal RNA is filed under the name uncultured eukaryote. RNAcentral describes it as "partial 18S ribosomal RNA". It matches the Rfam family "Eukaryotic small subunit ribosomal RNA", at positions 1470 to 1796 of the family's 1831-position model. The record is from RNAcentral.